CUGUGUUGGUCUGGUCCAAAAAAAGUCCCAAACCAAUCCCAUCUUCAAUUUAGUGUUCACGAUAGCUUCCAUGGAGGCCAAAGCUUAAAGAACCCUAAAGAGUCACUACAGGUCAGCCCCUGCUUCUCAGCUAGCGGUGGGCACUAAUGCAAGCCUGAUUGACUGCAGGUGGAAACACACUCCACUUGGGCUGGUUCUGAUGGGUUUGAGGCCUUGUAUUUGCCUUUUAAGACUGGGGAAACUAACAAAGAAAGGAGUCUUCUGUUUCUGGAGGAAGCCCGUUGCAGGCGGCCGCCCCCGGGGGACGGGGGAACCCUGGUGAUCUGUGACCCUCGCCAGGCUCCGGGGUGGAGUGACCUGCGCUUCUCAGCAGACCCCUCCGCCCUUUUCCCCACCUGCAGAAGCCCCCCGAAUGGCAGCUGGAGGCAGUGACCCCAGUGGCAGACAGGCCCCUGACGUAUUUCAGUUGUGCAUUUGACCCAGGCCCGGCACUUGGAGACCAUAGAUGAGCUGGAGGAGUCGGAGUCGGAGUUGUCGGUGGACUCGGUGUUGCUGGGCGUGCGGAGGCGGGGCCGGGUCUCCCUGGUGAAGCAGAGCACGCCGGCGCGGAGCGAGGAGUCCCGCUUCACCGUGAGUGGCAGCGGCGACUCGCUGGCUUCCUGGCCCCAAAGGGCCCCGCACUCCCGGGACCCGCCGCACGCCCUGCUGCCCUCCCUGCAGGAGGCCGAGGAUACGCCGGCCGGCUCUGACCCAUCGCCAUCGCUCAGCUCUCCUCUCCACCCACAACCGGCACAGCGCCCCCUCAGUCCUGGAGGACCGAGUGCAGCUGCGGUUUCACCGGGGCAGAGCUCCCCUCUCAGCAACGAAGAUGACAGCAAGGACAAGGACUGGCCAGAGCCAAAAAAAAGCAGAAGGAGGAAAAAGCGAAGGCCGAACAGAAGGCUUUCAAUGAGAUCUGAAGACGGUGAAGAGCCAGCCAUGCCCCUAAAAAAGAAAACAGGCAGAAAACCCAGAAAAAAUGCCAAAAUGACAUCAGAAGAUGUCCCGGAAUGGCUGGCCACGCUAAUGCACAGUAUCGAGGAGGCCACCCAUCACGAGCUGGUCGUCGAGCAGCGUCGGACAGCCAAACAAGGGCAUGAGGCGCCGGAGAGCGCGUGGGCGAAAUGACCGAAGCUACGCGAUCAAACAUGUUUGCGACUCGGCGUAAACACAGCUGACAGAAUGUUAAAGAACACCGACCGUGAUGCAGAAUGCCGAUAGCCUAGCGGCUAAGUCCGAUUUCCUCCUCGACCAACCUCCCUUUGACGGGGCCUCUCGACCCUUGUUUUUUUGAAGUCAUCCGACCUUGGAUGACCAAGUUUCCCCUUUGAUCUUGUGAAACUUAACCCAUCCCGACAAGGUGGCGCGAUGUCAAUGUUAAUGAUUUGCCGACAGCAAUCACGACUGCAAAAUAUUUGUGUUCUUUCUGGGCCGUCCGCUUCCUUUGUUGUUCAUUCCUGCCUUAAAGCGUUCCUUGGUUCAAUAUUUUCAUCAUGCAAAAACAUUAAUACUGAAGAAAAUAACUGAGGAAAAUGUACUGUUAUGAUUUAUUGGAACCAAAAAUCACCUGAUAUUCUAGACGUCAAUCAAGACCACUCUGACUGAU
Molecule: RNA transcript, 1645 nt
Organism: Conger conger (European conger)
Lineage: Eukaryota; Metazoa; Chordata; Actinopteri; Anguilliformes; Congridae
Gene name: coiled-coil domain-containing protein 201-like
Exons: 5
Source: RefSeq, a predicted model, not a curated record